AAGUCGUAACAAGGUUUCCGUAGGUGAACCUGCGGAAGGAUCAUUAAAAAAUCUCUUAAUGAGCCGCAAGGCUCUGAUAUUUUGUGAAAUGUGUAUAUUGUCACAAGCUCAGGAGGGAAAAGUGCAGUAGUGGGAGCCAGUCCUAUGUGGAUUGGAUCUCUUCGAGGGACUUGCCUCUCAGUGGGCUGUGAUGGUAUAAAUAUAUUAAUACAUAUGAUCUUGAUGUUGAGGAAGUAUUAUAUCAAUAUAUAAUAUAUGUACAACUUUCAACAGUGGAUCUCUCGGCUCUU
RNAcentral lists this unclassified non-coding RNA (290 nucleotides) under fungal sp. RNAcentral describes it as "partial internal transcribed spacer region". The stretch from base 1 to 46 matches the Rfam family "Eukaryotic small subunit ribosomal RNA", at positions 1786 to 1831 of the family's 1831-position model. Lineage: Eukaryota; Fungi. The record is from RNAcentral.